This 450-nucleotide ribosomal RNA is filed under the name uncultured bacterium. Its description in RNAcentral is "partial 16S ribosomal RNA". It matches the Rfam family "Bacterial small subunit ribosomal RNA", at positions 354 to 796 of the family's 1533-position model. The record is from RNAcentral.
GUGGGGAAUUUUGGACAAUGGGCGCAAGCCUGAUCCAGCAAUGCCGCGUGCAGGAAGAAGGCCUUCGGGUUGUAAACUGCUUUUGUACGGAACGAAACGGUCCGGGUUAAUACCCUGGGCUAAUGACGGUACCGUAAGAAUAAGCACCGGCUAACUACGUGCCAGCAGCCGCGGUAAUACGUAGGGUGCAAGCGUUAAUCGGAAUUACUGGGCGUAAAGCGUGCGCAGGCGGUUGUGUAAGACAGGCGUGAAAUCCCCGGGCUCAACCUGGGAAUUGCGCUUGUGACUGCAAAGCUGGAGUGCGGCAGAGGGGGAUGGAAUUCCGCGUGUAGCAGGGAAAUGCGUAGAUAUGCGGAGGAACACCGAUGGCGAAGGCAAUCCCCUGGGCCUGCACUGACGCUCAUGCACGAAAGCGUGGGGAGCAAACAGGAUUAGAAACCCGAGUAGUCC